This 203-nucleotide transfer-messenger RNA is filed under the name Gemmatimonadales bacterium. Its description in RNAcentral is "partial transfer-messenger RNA". It matches the Rfam family "transfer-messenger RNA", at positions 1 to 205 of the family's 374-position model. Rfam says of the family: Bacterial tmRNA, also known as 10Sa RNA or SsrA, is named for its dual tRNA and mRNA-like properties. Its role is to liberate the mRNA from a stalled ribosome. To accomplish this part of the tmRNA is used as a reading frame that ends in a translation stop signal. Lineage: Bacteria; Pseudomonadati; Gemmatimonadota; Gemmatimonadia; Gemmatimonadales. The record is from RNAcentral.
GGGGGCGACUGGCUUCGACGGGUACGAAGAAGAAAUGGCAGCGUGCCCAGGUCCAGAAUCCUGGUAAAACCGUCUGGAAAAUUUUACACGCCAAUACUGAUCUGGCGCUGGCUGCAUAAGCUGAGCUAACGCUCACUUGAUGCACCUCCGGUGAACGAAGCCCGCCUGGGGCGUCGCCACCGGAUCGAAAAUCCGGGCUGGCC